CGGGUAGCCGGCCUGAGAGGGUGUACGGCCACAUUGGGACUGAGAUACGGCCCAGACUCCUACGGGAGGCAGCAGUGGGGAAUAUUGCACAAUGGGCGCAAGCCUGAUGCAGCGACGCCGCGUGGGGGAUGACGGCCUUCGGGUUGUAAACCUCUUUCAGUUGGGACGAAGCCCUUCGGGGUGACGGUACCUUCAGAAGAAGCACCGGCUAACUACGUGCCAGCAGCCGCGGUAAUACGUAGGGUGCAAGC
Molecule: ribosomal RNA, 251 nt
Filed under: Ditylum brightwellii
Lineage: Eukaryota; Bacillariophyta; Thalassiosirophyceae; Lithodesmiales; Lithodesmiaceae
Description: partial Bacterial small subunit ribosomal RNA
Rfam family: Bacterial small subunit ribosomal RNA
Source: RNAcentral